UUACAUUUUAUCGGUCGCUCUU
Molecule: non-coding RNA, 22 nt
Filed under: Arabidopsis thaliana (thale cress)
Lineage: Eukaryota; Viridiplantae; Streptophyta; Magnoliopsida; Brassicales; Brassicaceae
Source: RNAcentral